Molecule: ribosomal RNA, 492 nt
Filed under: uncultured bacterium
Lineage: Bacteria
Description: partial 16S ribosomal RNA
Rfam family: Bacterial small subunit ribosomal RNA
Source: RNAcentral
AUUGAACGCUGGCGGCAUGCUUUACACAUGCAAGUCGAACGGUAACAGGCCUUCGGGUGCUGACGAGUGGCGAACGGGUGCGUAAUGCAUCGGAACGUGCCCAGAGGUGGGGGAUAACGCAGCGAAAGCUGUGCUAAUACCGCAUGUGAUCUGAGGAUGAAAGCGGGGGACCAGGCAGCAAUGUUUGGCCUCGCGCCUUUGGAGCGGCCGAUGUCCGAUUAGGUAGUUGGUGGGGUAAAGGCCUACCAAGCCGACGAUCUGUAGCUGGUCUGAGAGGACGACCAGCAACACUGGGACUGAGACACGGCCCAGACUCCUACGGGAGGCAGCAGUGGGGAAUUUUGGACAAUGGGCGCAAGCCUGAUCCAGCAAUGCCGCGUGCGGGAAGAAGGCCUUCGGGUUGUAAACCGCUUUUGUACGGAACGAAAAGGCUCUGGCUAAUACCUGGGGCUGAUGACGGUACCGUAAGAAUAAGCACCGGCUAACUACGUG